This 487-nucleotide ribosomal RNA is filed under the name uncultured Desulfobulbaceae bacterium. Its description in RNAcentral is "bacterial SSU rRNA". It matches the Rfam family "Bacterial small subunit ribosomal RNA", at positions 20 to 483 of the family's 1533-position model. Lineage: Bacteria; Pseudomonadati; Thermodesulfobacteriota; Desulfobulbia; Desulfobulbales; Desulfobulbaceae. The record is from RNAcentral.
UGGUUCAGAACGAACGCUGGCGGCGUGCUUAACACAUGCAAGUCGAACGCGAAAGGGACUUCGGUCCCGAGUAGAGUGGCGCACGGGUGAGUAACGCGUAAGUAAUCUACCCCUGUAUCUGGAAUAACCCACCGAAAGGUGAGCUAAUACCGGAUACGUUUAUCUUGAUGCGAAUGAUGAUAAAGAAAGGUGGCCUCUUCAUGAAAGCUACCGUACAGGGACGAGCUUGCGUACCAUUAGCUGGUUGGUAGGGUAAUGGCCUACCAAGGCGACGAUGGUUAGCGGGUCUGAGAGGAUGAUCCGCCACACUGGAACUGAAACACGGACCAGACUCCUACGGGAGGCAGCAGUGAGGAAUAUUGCGCAAUGGGGGCAACCCUGACGCAGCGACGCCGCGUGGACGAUGAAGGCCCUUGGGUCGUAAAAUCCUGUCAGAUGGAAAGAAAUGUACAGGUGUCAAUAUCGCCUGUAUUUGACGGUACCAUCA